CCCUCCUUUAUCGGCCCAGCGACAGAUAACCUGGCAAGGUCAGGGGCGCCUGGCGACGGCACCUGGUCGGGGCUCCAAGGAUGCUCGGCUGCAGCCGGCUAUAAAUACGGGCGAGGCUCCCCAGAGGCCACUUCAGUGGCUGCCAUCAUGUUCAAGCUGCUCUGUGCCCUCCUGCUCGUGGCUCAGGCCUACGGCUGUGGCCGUCCCACCUACGUGCCCAACAUUUCCCGUGUGGUUGGGGGCAAAGAUGCCCGGCCCCACAGCUGGCCCUGGCAGGUCUCCCUCCAAGUGGAAGUGAACGGGGGCUGGUUGCACUCGUGUGGCGGGACCCUCCUUGACGCGAACUGGG
Molecule: long non-coding RNA, 349 nt
Organism: Thamnophis elegans (Western terrestrial garter snake)
Lineage: Eukaryota; Metazoa; Chordata; Lepidosauria; Squamata; Natricidae
Exons: 3
Source: RefSeq, a predicted model, not a curated record